GCGCCAACCAGGCGAGGAAGGGGGCCUGGAGGGGGCGGCUCCACCUUCACAGCCAGGAGGCCGGAGGCUGGCAAAGAUGGGGAGGAAGCGGCCGACGACGCUGUUUACCUGCUGCAGUUGCUGUGGGAGAGAUGCCCCCUGAAAAUCUUGGUCUGAGUAACUGCGGUGCAGAGUGACUGAGAUGCUGCGCCAGUACAGACAGCCCUAUAAUUAAAAUGCAGAGAAAUUGUGCUUAUUUGCUGCUUUGCUUCAGGUAUAGUGGGC
Long non-coding RNA from Hemicordylus capensis (graceful crag lizard), 264 nucleotides. RefSeq lists it as uncharacterized. The transcript is spliced from 3 exons. NCBI's taxonomy places the organism in Eukaryota, Metazoa, Chordata, Lepidosauria, Squamata, Cordylidae. The record is from RefSeq and is a predicted model, not a curated record.